AUUGAACGCUGGCGGCAGGCCUAACACAUGCAAGUCGAACGGUAACAGGGAUCAGCUUGCUGAUUCGCUGACGAGUGGCGGACGGGUUAGUAAUGUCUGGGAAACUGCCCGAUGGAGGGGGAUAACUACUGGAAACGGUAGCUAAUACCGCAUAACGUCGCAAGACCAAAGAUGGGGACCUUCGGGCCUCUUGCCAUCGGAUGUGCCCAGAUGGGAUUAGCUAGUAGGUGGGGUAACGGCUCACCUAGGCGACGAUCCCUAGCUGGUCUGAGAGGAUGACCAGCCACACUGGAACUGAGACACGGUCCAGACUCCUACGGGAGGCAGCAGUGGGGAAUAUUGCACAAUGGGCGCAAGCCUGAUGCAGCCAUGCCGCGUGUAUGAAGAAGGCCUUCGGGUUGUAAAGUACUUUCAGCGGGGAGGAAGGGAGUAAAGUUAAUACCUUUGCUCAUUGACGUUACCCGCAGGAGAAGCACCGGCUAACUCCGUG
RNAcentral lists this ribosomal RNA (490 nucleotides) under uncultured bacterium. Its description in RNAcentral is "partial 16S ribosomal RNA". It matches the Rfam family "Bacterial small subunit ribosomal RNA", at positions 30 to 507 of the family's 1533-position model. The record is from RNAcentral.